AUUAGCUAGUUGGUGGGGUAAAGGCCUACCAAGGCGACGAUCUGUAGCGGGUCUGAGAGGAUGAUCCGCCACACUGGGACUGAGACACGGCCCAGACUCCUACGGGAGGCAGCAGUGGGGAAUAUUGGACAAUGGGCGCAAGCCUGAUCCAGCCAUGCCGCGUGUGUGAAGAAGGCCUUAUGGUUGUAAACGGCUAACUCUGUGCCAGCAGCCGCGGUAAUACAGAGGGUGCAAGCGUUAAUCGGAUUUACUGGGCGUAAAGCGCGCGUAGGCGGCUAAUUAAGUCAAAUGUGAAAUCCCCGAGCUUAACUUGGGAAUUGCGUUCGAUACUGGUUAGCUAGAGUGUGGGAGAGGAUGGUAGGAUUCCAGGUGUAGCGGUGAAAUGCGUAGAGAUCUGGAGGAAUACCGAUGGCGAAGGCAGCCAUCUGGCCUAACACUGACGCUGAGGUGCGAAAGCAUGGGGAGCAAACAGGAUUAGAUACCCUGGUAGUCCAUGCCGUAAACGAUGUCUACUAGCCGUUGGGGCCUUUGAGGCUUUAGUGGCGCAGCUAACGCGAUAAGUAGACCGCCUGGGGAGUACGGUCGCAAG
RNAcentral lists this ribosomal RNA (589 nucleotides) under uncultured bacterium. RNAcentral's name for it is "bacterial SSU rRNA". It matches the Rfam family "Bacterial small subunit ribosomal RNA", at positions 240 to 892 of the family's 1533-position model. The record is from RNAcentral.